Molecule: long non-coding RNA, 227 nt
Organism: Frieseomelitta varia
Lineage: Eukaryota; Metazoa; Arthropoda; Insecta; Hymenoptera; Apidae
Exons: 3
Source: RefSeq, a predicted model, not a curated record
GAUCAGCAUGGCCAGCGACCAAUCGAGCAUCCGCCGCCCCUCGGCUCUUACGCCGGAAGAUCUUCCUCAGGCCACGAAGCGGAUGGAAGCGACGCUUCUUCGGCUCUGCGAACCAAGACAAAAGAUCGUGUUUUUGAAUUGCAGGCAACGUUACCAAGGAAAUCCUCGAAGUUCAAGUAGAAUUGCAUCCAGAUAGAAGGUCCUCUAUGAUGAUUCCGUAAAUCGCG